CGGCAGCCGUGGGCCGAGCUCGACCCCCUUUCCCCGAGCCACGCACACCGCAGUCCGCCCGGGAGGAGACUUGGCCAUCGCCACGCCAGACUGCCCAGCAGGCUCCUCGUGAGACUCGGGGCGAGCUCCGGGGGCGCAGGGUGCAGGGCACAAGCUGAGGCACUGGGGCACGUGAGCCUCAGUCCCGAGGACCGGGCGCCGGGGACCCUCAGUCCACCGCCGGCCACCACGGCGCCCCGCCCCUCCGCACGCAGGCCCGGCACGAGCUCGCGCACGUGCGCGCGCGCCGUCAGAUCCUGGGUCCUACCUGCGGGAGUGAGGACGGGGCUAGCGGAGGCCGGGCUGCUGAGGUACUUAGGGGAGGAGCCCGAGCCGCCGCUGCCGAAGGAGAGGAGCAUGUCUGCAACUCGAGCCAAGAAAGUAAAGAUGGCCACCAAGUCAUGUCCGGAAUGCGACCAACAGGUGGGCGCCGGGGGCCGGGCGCGCGCAGGCAGGGGCCGUUGCUAGGCUGCCGUUGGGACCGGUCGGGCGGAGCCGAGGGGUUGCCAGGGAAACGCCCGGGCCGGUGGCCAGACUGGAGGCCCCCGGGUGGUCUGACCCGGCUGCGCGGGAGGGGGCGUGGGUUUGUGUCGGGACCCUACGGAGUCGCCUUGCGGGCCGCGGGUGACAGCGCUAGGACCUUAGGGGCCGCGGCCCCAGUGGAGGAGCAAGGCCCCUUCUAGCUCCCUUGGGCUGGCGGGAAUGCCCGGUGUGCCCGACUCCGAGUCCAGGCCCCUGGCUCCGAAGGCUCCGUCCUGCCACACAGGGUUGCUUUGUUCCCAUUUCAGUUGUGUGUGGUGAUCUCCCAAAAUUGCCCAGACAGUGUUUGGGUGGACACUUUAACGUGACGAAAGGGACCCUGAUGUAAUGACGUAAUUCAGUAAAUUGGUGAUUUUAAUAUACUUUAAAAUUUAAUAACCACAGUAAUAAUCUGCUGUAAAGUUUUUAUUUGAAUUUAUACUUUAUCAUUAUUAGCAAAUAUUAAUUGUACAGAAUAACGAGUUUCAUUGUGAAGUAUCCGUGCUUUAUUGAUAACCACUCUCUCUGUUUACAUAUUUUACUGACACACUCCCUACUACUUUUUGUAGUCCUCCUUACCCAACCUUCACUCUCUGUGCCGCAUUUGAGGAAAUGUGGAAUACUUGUAUGAGUCUGGCUUAUUUCGCUUAACGUGAUGAUCUCCAGUUCCAUCCAUUUACCUGCAAAUGACAUAAUUUCAUUCUUCUUUAUGACUGCAAAAUACUCCAUUGUAUUAUAUAUAGCAUUUUUUAAUCCAUUCAUUCAUGGGCAUCUAGACUGAUUUCAUAUCUUCGCUAUUGUAAACAGUGCUGCAAUAAACAUUGGGAAUGCAGGUGUCUCUUUUUUUGCAUGCUAGCAUUGAUUCAUUCUGCUAUAUACCCAGGAAUGAUAUAACUGUAUCGUAUGAUGGUUAUAUUUUUAGAAACCUUCAUACUGGUUUUGGCUUUACUAAUUUACAUUCCCAUCAGCAGUGUGUAAGGAUUCCUCUUUCCCACAUUCUUAGCAUUUGUUAUUUUUUGAUUUCUUACUAGUAGCCAUUCUGGUUGGGGUGAUAUGGAAUCUCAAUGUAGGUUUUUUUUUUUUUUUUUGGUAUCAAGGAUUGAAUUUAGGGGCACUCGACCACUGAGCCGCGUCCCCAGCCCUAUUUUGUAUUUUAUUUAGAGAUAGGGUCUCAUUGAGUUGCUUGGUGCCUAGCUUUUUUUUAAAAUUAAUUUUUAAAAAAAUAUUUUAAAAUUUAUUUAUUUAAAUUAAAUAUAUAUAAAUAUAUGAAGCGCCUAGCUUUGCUGAGGCUUGGGUUUGAACUCAAGGUCCUCCUGCCUCAGCCUCCCUAGCAGCUGGGGUUCCAGGGGUGCUUCAGUCACCACACUGGCUCAGUGUAGUUUUUGUGAUUUGCAUUUCCCUAAUGGCUAAUGAUGUUUACCAUUUUUCAUAUUCUUAUUGGCCAUUUGUGUUUAUUUUGGGAAGGUGUCUGUUAAACUCAUUUGCCCAUUUAUUGAUUGGAUUACAUUUUUUUAGUUCUUUGAAUAUUCUGGAUAUUAAUUCCUGUCAGAUGAGUAGCUGGCAAAGAUUUUCUCCCAUUUUGUAGGCUGUCUUCAUCCUGUUGAUGGUUUCCUUUGCUGUGCAGAAGCUUUUCAAUUUGAUGUAAUCCCACUUGUCAUUUUUUGCUAUUAUUUCCAGAACUAUUGGAGCACUAUGCAGGAAAUGGUUGGUGAAACCAAUAUUUUGAAUUGUUUCCCUUAUGUUUUCCUCUAGUCAUUAGAAAGUUUCAGAACUUAAGAUCUUUGAUCCAUUUUGAGUUGAAUUUUGUACAGGGUGAGAGAUAAGGAUUUGAAUUUCAAUCUUCUACAGAGGGAUAUCCCAUUUUCCCAGCACAAUUUGUUAAAAAGACUAUUUUUUCAUAAAAAAAAAAAAAUUUGACUCCCUUGUUUAGAAUCAGGUGACCUUCAGUGUGUGGGUUUAUUCCUGUGUAUUCUUGUUCUAUUCCAUUGGUCUUAAUGCCUAUUUUUAUGCAAGUACCAUUCUGUUUUUGUUAUUAUGACUCUAGUACAUUUCGAAAUCAAGUAUUGUGGUGUCUACAGCAUUGCUCUUUUUGCUCAGGAUUUCUUUGGCUAUUUUGAAGUCUUUGUGCUUCCAUAUGAAUUUUAGGUUUGUUUUUUCUAGUUCUGUGAAAAAUGUCAUUGGUAUUUGAUAGGUAUUGCACUGACUUUGUCGAUCAAUUUAUAAGGCAAUUUUAACUAUUAAAUUCUCCCAGUCCAUGAACAUGGGAGAUUUUCCACAUUUACUGUCUUACUCAAUUUCUUUCUUCGUUGUUUUAUAAUUUUCAUUGUAGAGGUUCUAGAUCCAUUAUGUCUUGGAAAUUUUGUUUUUCUUAGCCUUUAAAUUUUUUUUUGUAAUUGUAGAUGAACAACAUGACUUUAUUUUAUUUUAUUUAUGUGGUGAUAAGGAUCAAACCCAGUGCCUCACAUGUGCUAGGUAAGUGUUCUGCCACCGAGCUAUAGCCCCAGCCCCAUUUCUUAGCCCUUGAUCAAAACCUUACAGGGAAUGUCAUGAUUUUAAUGUAUUUAGGGAGGUUCAGAGGUAUGGCUUUUCAUUAGGUGCAUCCUCAGUGCAGAAGCCAAAUGGGUCAUUUUUACCAAAAGCAGAAUUGCCUGGUAGCAUUGCUGACAUUCCACCUCUAUCAUACUAAUAGUACCAGAGGAAGGUUCACAAAUGGCUUUGUUCACAUAAAAGUUUUGUUAGUCCUUUACUCAUAUCAUAACCCAGAUUUUUAAAACUGUAUCCUCUGUGAAAGUAUAUAGCAUAUAAUUAUUCUUGACUAGAAAAGUUAUUCAUUUAAAACUCCCUCUUAAAACCAUUUUAAGGCCUCUACUUUCAUGCCACAAUGUGAACCUUACUCUGUUUUUUUCAAAAUAAUUACCUCUUCUCUAGCUUUCUCUCAGCAAGAGAAGUUUAUUGCCUCCUCUUCAUUUCUCUCAGCAGUGUUUUCCGUUUUCAGUGUACAGGUUUUAUACAUAUUUUAUUAAGUUUAUCCCUGUGAAUUUGUUUUCAGGAUGCUAUUUUGAGUGCAAUUGGUUUACAAUUUUUUAUUAUUUUUUUAGUUGUAAUUAGACACAAUACCUUUAUUCCAUUUAUUUAUUUUUAUGUGGUGCUGAGGAUUGAACCCAGGGCUCUGUGCAUGCUAGGCGAGCGCUCUACUGCUGAGCCACAACCCCAGCCCUUGGUUUACAAUUUUCAUUCAUUGCGGAUUAUAUGUAAUGUUGAACUUUUUAUUGUGGUAAAAAUAUAUACUGUUUUCAGGGUUCAUCCAGAUAUGUAGCAUGUGUCAGUUCUUCAUUCCUUUUCAUAGUAAAAUGACAUUUUGUUUAUCCAUUCUUCUAUUGAGGGACAUAAAUAAUACUUGUUGGUUAUUGUGAAUAGUGGUGUUGUGAACAUUCAUGUACAUGUUUUUGUUUCAACACCUAUUUUUACUUUUAGUAUAUACCUAGAAGUGGAAUUGCAAAGGCAUAUGACAAUUUUAACUUAUUGAGGAAUUGCCAGUUUUCCACAGCAGUUGUAUUAUUUUAAAUUCUCAUCAGCAGUGUAAGAAGGUUCUAAUUUUUUCAUAUCCUCAUCAAUACUUCGUUAGUUUUUGUUAGAAAAAACAGUCACACUAGUGUGUGUGAUAUGAGAUAUCAAUUGUGGUUUUAAACUGAAUUUUUCUAUUAAGAACAUUGAGCAUCUUGUGCUUAUUGGCCAUUUGUAUAUCUUACUUGGAGAAAAAUCUUUUUAAAAAAAAAAAAAAACUGUGGUGAGCCGUGUCUGCAGACCGUUGCCGCCAUUAGAAGAUGGCGCCGGUCUCCGUUGUGGAUCUUGGUAAACAACUCCUUAUUAGGGAAAGUUGGCGCGCUGUCCCUCAACACCCUAUGAGAAAACCCCGCGUGGCAGCUUUGGAUUGGACUUGAGUAAGCUUUAUUAGGCUAUGCUUGGGCGCUCGGCGGGGGGUCACUAGAAGAUGAUACAUGAAACAAGGCCUGAAUAAACUGCUGAAAGAAGAAUCCUGUGUCGUGUUUUCCCUUGCCGGCGAGGGGUCGAGACAAAAAACUUUUUUUUUUAGUUGUAGAUGGACAAAAUAUCUUUAUUUAUUUAUUUAUUUAUUUAUUUUUAUGUAGUGCUGAGGAUUGAACCCAGUGCCUCAUAUGUGCAAGGCAAGCCCUCUGCCCCUGAGCUACAGCCCCAGCCCUGAAAUGUCUAAUUUUUUAAAUUGGGUUUUCUUCUUGGUGUUGUUAUAAGAGCUUUUGUACAUUUUGUAUAUUAGAACCUUAUCAGACAUAUUAUUUGAAGAUAUUGGCAAAAACUCAUUGUGUAGGUUUUCUUUUUUAUUUUCUUGAUAGUCUUUUGAUGCUCAGAAGUUUUAAAUUUUGAUGUAGUCCAAUUUGAUGUAGCUGCUUGUGCUUUUAUUGUCACAACUAAGAAAGUAUUUUCAAACCCAAGAUCAUGAAGAUUUACCCCAUUUUUCAUCUAAGAGUUUUAUACUUUCGUUGUUCUAUUAAAUAGGUCUCUAAUUAAUUUUGAGUUAAUUUUCAUUUAUGAUUUAAGGUAAGGGUUUGACUUCCUUGUUUUGUAUAUGGAUAUCUAGUUUUCUUGGCACCAUUGGUUGAAGAGGGGUUUUUUCCCUUAUUGAAUGAUGGUGGCAUUGUUACGGAAAAUCAGUUGACCAUAAAUGAAUUUGAAAAAGAUUGGAAAUAAAAAGUGAAUCCUUCAAUUUUGUUCUUCUUUUUUAAGAUUGUUGUGGCUUCUAAGGAUCCUAUAUAAUUCUAUAUUAAUUUUAAGAUCAGAGUUUGCAUUUUUGCAAAAAAAAGACUAUUGGAAUUUUGGUAGGAUUGCACUGAUUUUAUAGACUGCUUUUUGGAGUAUUGGAAUCUUAAUAUUAGGUCUUUAAUUAAUGUUGUCUUACAUAAAGGGUUGUCUUACCGUUUAUUUACGCUAAGAUUUCAGCAAUGUCCUGUAAUUUUGAGUGUAUAUAAGUCUUGUAUUUCCUUGGUUAAAUUUAUUCCUAAGUGUUUUAUUUCAAUUUUUCCCAGAAGAGACAGGCUCUCAGUAUAUUUAAUAGGCAGGCCUUGAACUCCUGGGCUCAGGUGAUCCUUGAUUCUCCUGCCUUAGUUUCUGUUACUAGUACUCACUGUGGUGCCUGGCUGUGUAUUAUUUUAUUCUUUUUGAUAGUCUUAUAAAUUAAUUGUUUUUUGGAUUGGUCAUUGCUUGUAUAUAGAAAUAAGGCUGAUUUUGAGUUUUUUUUUCUUACAUCUGCCAAUAUUACCUGCAAAUAGAGAUAUUUUUGCUUCUUUUUCAACUUAGGUGCCUUUUUAAAAUUUUUCUUGCCUUAUUGAUCUGGUUAGAACUUCUAGUACAGUGUUGAACAGAACUGCUUAUAACCAAAGCAGAUGAAACUGGAUGCCUUGGUACAUGUUUGUAGUCUCAGCUGCUCAGGAAACUGAGGCAAGAGGAUCAUAAUUUUAAAGGCCAUCCUGGACAAUUUAGCAAGACCCUGUAUCAAAAAAAAUUUUUUUUAAUUGUUUGGGAUAUAGCUUAGUGGUAGAGCACUUGCCUAGGUUGUAGUAGGCUCUGGAUUAAAUCUCCAGUAAAACACACACACACACACACACACAAACAAAAAAAAAGGCUCAGUUUCAUUUGAAAGGAACUCAUUGGGUAUUGUUAAAUUAAAUUUGGCCUAAACCUGACUCCUAUCUAGCUAACCUUGACUUUAGUUUGUAAAUAAGCUGUGACCAACUUAAGUGUAUAUUCUUGUGACAAAUUGCUGAGUCUCAACCAGUCAUGGGCUGCCAAUUGAUCAGAAUACAUGGAGAGCAAGCUGUGCCCUGCUCUGAAUUACUCUGUUGUAUAGAACAGCAGUGCCUAGCCCUGAGUUUUUCCAUUUUGUACUCUAUCAGUUUGCUUUUAGCUAUGCCAUUUUGGUGCAAGGGCUAAGGCAGAAUGACUUGGUGACUUGUCUGGGCAAAUAGAUAACCACCAGACAUUGGACUUAUAAAAUUUGUCAAAAAGAAUAAUAUCCAACUGCACAGCAAGAUCCUAAGGCACAAACUGAUAACAAAUUAGUUUUGCUAUAAUAAUAAUACCCCUGCGGAGUAUCUGAACUAAAUCAGAAGCACAUGGAUGCAUGGGUGUAUAAAACUCUUGAAAGCAGGCCCUAGAAUUUAACAGAUAUAUCAGACCUCUGAAUGGUGCAAUUCCUUACCUAAAACACAUAAAAGUGGGCUGGGGUUGUGGCUCAGUGGUGGAACGCUUGCCUACCACGUGCAAAGCCCUGGGUUCAAUCCUCAGCACCACAUAAAAAUAAAGAAAAUAAAGGUAUUGUGUCUAAUUACAACUAAAAAAUAAAUAUAAAAAAAGAAAAAAAAACACAAAAGGAGAGGCACCUAAGUUAGUGGUAUGAGUGGGUACACUACAAUCCCUCAUCUUGUUAGACCACGAGAUUGACAGGCCACAAACUCCUAACUCCCUAGGUCUUUAGAUCUGAUCAGUCUCCCUGUUUGAUGUGGCCCACUUCAAUACUGCCUGCUGUCCAGACCAUUUGGACUCGAACAGUUUUGUACCCUGAGGGUUCUGUGCCCUGAACAAGUUCUUUGAUUGGUUCUUAAUCUUAUCUAACCCACCUGCAUUGACUCUUUUGCAUAUAUAUUCAGCCCUCUGCCUUUGCUCUCAGUUCUGCCUCUUGGAACCCUGUGACCACUGUUAACCGUUUCUUAGAAGUUUUGUAACUUCUAAAUCACUAUGUAAAGUGUGAUAUGUGACUUGAGUAUUAUAGUUAAUAGUAGUUAAGAUUGGAAUGGAAUAAAAGAAUUGUGAUUGCUUUGGUCAUAACACAAAUGAACCAUGAGUAUUUUGAUGAGUUGAAGUGGAUGAAAGUGAUGUAGCUUGUGAUGUUAUUGUUAUUCAGUAAAUUUUUACAUUGUGGAAAGACAUAAGUGUGUGUGGUAUAUAUUAAUGAUAAUAUAUAUUUAUGUGUGUGUGUGUGUGUGUGUGUGUAUAUAUAUAUAUAUAUAUAUAUAUAUAUAUAUAUAUAUAAAUGAUAUAGCUCACACGGGACUUAUCAUGUCCACAUUUGGGCCUCAUAUUAUGCCCAAAGUAGGCAGUUGAGACCUGUAACUAUUUAAGAUAUUUCUGUAUUUUUUUCUUUCCUUUUUUUUUUUUUUUUUUUUUGUCUGGAAAUACUGCCUACUUAUAUUGAUGGGUGGAGUCCUCUCUUCUUUUUUUUUUUUUCCUGGUACUGGGGGUUGAAACCACAGGUGCUUUACCUCCCCAACCCUACUUUAAAACUUUUUUUUUUUUCCUUGAGAACAGGGUCUUGUUAAAUCGCUUAGGCGGGCCUGGAACUUUCAAUUCUCCUUCUUAAAGCCUCCCAGAUUGCUGGGAUUACAGGUGUGCAUCACUAUACUCUAUGAGCUCAGGUGGAGCUCUCUGAACUUCUGUUGGUUUGGGGUGAUGCCCAAUUCAUUAAUUGUUUUUUGUGUAAGUAAACACUUGUGAGUAUUUUGUUAAAAACAAAAUGUUACAGUAUGUUACAUAUAUUCUUUUUUAAAAAUAUUUUUUAGUUGUUGAUGGACCUUUAUUUUAUUUAUUUGUAUGUGGUGCUGAGAAUCAAACCCAAUGCCUCAUGCAUGCCAGGCAAGUGCGCUACCACCGAGCUACAACCCAGCCCACAUAUAUUCUUUUGAGUAUACCAAAUAUUACAUAAAUUGGAAUACAUCGUGUUAGUUAAAGGAACUAGUAUUCAUUUUAGUAAAAAUAACUGAAGAAAGUAAAAUUGUUUUUUGAUUAUAACGGGAUGCUUUCUAAUUUGGCGGGGGCAGUUUACUGGAGAUUGAACCCAGGGGUACUUAUAACCACUAACCAUGUCCCCACCCCUUCUGAUUUUUCAUUUUGAGACAGGUCUCACUAAGUUGCUUAGGGCCUCGAUAAGUUGCUGAUGCUGGCCUUGAACUUGUGAUUCUUCUGCUUUAGCCUCCUGAGUUGCUAGGAUUACAGGCAUGUGCUACUGCUUGACUCUAAUUUUUUUUUUUAAAGGUGAGGGUUCUUUUUUUUAUUAUUAUUAAUACUUAACUCUGGUUAUGAAACUAUGCUUUAAGUUUUAAAUAGAGGAGCAGGAUGUAUCUCAGUGGUCAAGUGCUUGCCUAGUGUGUGCAAGGCCCUUAAUUUAAUUUCCAGCACUGCCAAAAAACAAAACCAAAACCAAAACACACACACACACACAAAAAAAAAAAAAAAAAAAAAAACCACAAAAUUGUUUUAUUUUUUGGAAUCAGCCUAGAUGCCCUUCAAUAGAUGAAUGGAUAAAGAAACUGUGGUAUAUAUACCCAAUGGAAUAUUACUCAGCAUUAAAAGAGAAUAAAAUUAUGGCAUGUGCAGGUAAAUGGAUAGAGUUGGAGAAUAUCAUGCUAAACAAAGUAAGCCAGAAAACGAAGACUGAAUGUUCUCUCUGAUAAGUGGAUGUUGAUCCAUAAUGUAGGGGCAGGCAUUGGAAAAAUGGAGGAACUUUGAUUGGGCAAAGGGGAGGAAGGAGAAGGGAGGAAGAAUGGGGGGCAGGAGAGAUGGUGAAAUAUGGACACCAUUACCCUAGGUACAUGUAUGACUGCACAUAUGGUGUGAUGCUACAUGGUGUACAACCAGAGAAAGAAAAAUUGUGCUGCAAUUGUGUACAGUGAAUCAAAAUGCAUUCUGCUGUCAUACAGACCCAAUUAGAAUAAAUAAAUAAUGAAAAAGCAAAAACUCCAAACCUCCAAAAUGAAAAAUAAAACCCUCAAAUCCCCCAACAAAAAUAUUAGGAGUAUCAAAAUUGAGACCCUGAUCAGUGUUUUUUACUUUUCAUUUUCAAGGUGUUUCAUAUCUGUUUUUCUUAUCACUCAGUUUACUAAGUCCUUGUGAUGUGUAUAUUUUAUUCAAAAUUAUUACUAUUCUUUUAAUAUUUUUUAGAAUUGUGGUAAAAUAUGCAUAACUACCAUUUUAAUGAUUUUUCAGCAUAUAAUUCAGUAGUGUUAUGUACAUUCAUAGUGUUGUGCAGCCAUCACAACUAUGAAUUUCCAGAACUUUUUCAUCAUCCCGAAGAGAAACUGUGUCCAUUAAAUAAUAACUUCUCAUACUUUUCUAUACCCUACUCCCCUGGUAACCUCUUUUUUUUUUUUUUCCUGUCUCUGAAUUUGCUCAUAGAAGUUGAAUCACAUGAUAUUUGUCCUAUCUAGUAAUUUUUGUUUAUAAGUUUUAAUUUUUACCUUAGUUUUCUCCUAUUUGGUUUUUGGUAUAGAACAGAUUUUUUAUUUUUAUUUUAGAGACUGUUCAUAGAAUAUUUUUUGUUGUAUGUCUACUGACAAAUGAUUUUUGGUUCUUAAAAUAAUAAAAGGUUGAGAAGAAUUAUAGAAUUUUAAAGCCGCUUUAAAAGGAAACAAAAUAAGACAAGGUCUUUUUUUCUUUUCUUUUUUUUUUUUUGACUUUUUUUCUUAAUAGUUUCCUUCAGUCUUACUUUGAAAAUAUAAAAACAACCUGUGUUCAAAGAAUCAUUUAAUAUAGUGCUCCACAAUUUUUUUAUGGUUGCAUGAUUUUUUAAAAAUAUUUUUUAGUUCUAGUUGGAUGCAAUACCUUUAUUUUUUUAAAAAUACUUUUAUUUUAUUUAUUUAUUUUUCUGUGGUGCUGAGGAUCCAACCCAGCACCUGGCACGUGCUAGGCGAGUGCUGUAUCUCCUGCUGAGUCACAAUGCCAGCCCCAUGGUUGCAUAUUUUUUAUGCUUAAUUGAUCAAGUAAAACAAUAAGAACAACAAAUGUGAUAGCAAUACUUUUUUAUCAUAAAUAAAAUUACAAAUAUGCACUUCAUGUGCUCUGUGAGGAGGAAAGAGAGUAAGGUGAAGAAACUUUCAUACAGGGUGCUCAAGGAGCUGUGGACAGGGUUAAGAGAAUGAAUGGAAUCCUGGGUCUAGGUAAAUCUAUAAUUAGAAGAAGGAAAAGCACAAAUACCCAGAGAGUAGAGUCCAUCAUAGUCAUUAAAACCAGCACUCAAAUUUUGCUUUGAUAUUUUUGACAGUUAAGGUUUAAGGAAGAUAUGGUCCUCAAUAUCAUCCUCCUCAUAAAAAUAUUUGCCAUUCAUUCAUGCAAAUACCCUAGCAUGGUGCUGAGUAAUUGUUAGAAAAAUCAACUGGAGUUAGUGAGAGGACAGUGAAUGCCCCCUUUCUGUUCCUAAAAAGCUAGCCAGUUUAGGGAAUGAUGGGAGCAAGUCUGGGCCAGAUGGUCCAUAAACAUGCUGGUUUGUUUGUUUCUUUCUAGAUACACAUGACAGUAAAGUGUAUUUUGAUAUAUUAUACAUACAUAGAAUAAGUAUAACUUGUUCCAAUUAGGAUCCCAUGAUUAUGGUUGUAUAUGAUAUGGAGUUACAUUGGUUGUCUAUUCAUAUGUAAGGAUAGGAAAGAUACGUUUGGUUCAUUCUACUCUCUUUUUUAUUCUCAUCCUCCCUCUCUGCCCUUCAUAGUAAACUUCUAAUCUUCCCCUUUCUUGUUGUGGGUUAGCAUUCACAUAUCAAAGAGAACAUUCUGACUUUGAUUUUUGGAGGGACUGGAUUAUUUCACUUAGCAGUUCCCUUCUUUUACAGUACCAUUCUUUUACUGGCAAAUGCCAUAAUUCUUGUUUAUGAGUGCCCCACAAUUUUAUCAAUAAAUAUUUUAACUUUAAUUUUCCUUCUUAAAUUCCUGGAAAUACAGGAUUAGAAUAAUUUAUCAAUAAUUAUCUUCAACACAAAAUACAAAUUAUAUUGUAAUUAACCCUUGGAUUAAUGCUAUCCAGCUUGUUCAACCCAUUUUAUAAGUGUUUUUACAGUAAACUUUCUUUUCAUAAAUGGAUUUUGUGGAAGUAGUGAUUGUUUUUGUUUGUUGUGGGAGGUGAUAAUUAGUUCAGUAGAUGGGAUGUUUAUAUUAAAUAUUUUCAUUAACUAGUGGAAAUUAACCUUUUUAAUUGAAUAUCAGCAUAUCCUUUAACUAGAAAAGUCUCUGGUAGUUUUGAAUAAGGUCAUAUGAUUUUCCUCAUAUCUUGAAUUUUUUAGAAAAUGUUUUUAGUUGUAGAUGGACAUAAUAGCUUUAUUUUGUUUGUUUAUUUUUAUGUGGUGCUGAGGAUUGAACCCAGUGCUUCACAUUUGCUAGGAAAGUGCUCUACCACUGAGCUACAGUUCCAGUCCUGAUAUGUUGAAUUUUAAGCAAUGAGUUAAUUGUCUUUGAAUUUCAUUUGAACUGAGAUGUAAAAUGAAAAACAAGCAAAUGUACCACACCUAUCUAUGGCAUAUUUUACUUUAAAAAAAUAAUUUUUAGUUGUAGUUUGAAAGAGCCAUGAGUCAUACUUAAUAAAAUAUGGACUUGAGUAUAUCUGGAGUUUAGUUAUGUUUUAUAAAUUAAUUAUUAAGGAUUUUAUUCUCUAAAAUACAGGCUUUUGCAGUAUUUUUUUAAAAAAACUAUUAUUGUUCAUUGUUGUUUUGGCUAUAUUAUUUACAAUUUCAGCAGCAUCUUAAAUAGAUAGUAUGUCUAGGUACAAUGAAAUAGUCUUACAAUAUUUUUAUUGAAAAAGGAAUACUAGAAUUUGUUAGCUAAUUAGACAACAUGUUUAUACACUAGAGUAUUAGGCAUUUAUAAAUACAUGAAUAUAAAGUAUGACAGCUAAGCUUUAUUAGAUAAAAACAGAGAAGAAUUGGCUUUUUUACAAUUUUUUGGCUAUAUAGCAGUUCCUCCUUAUUCUCACGGGAUAUGUUCCAAGGCCUUAUAUAUUUAUUGUUGUUUCCCUAUAUAUAUGCAUACCCAUGUUAAGUUUUAAUGUAUAAAUUAGGCAUAGUAAGAUAUUAAAAGAACUAAUAAAAUAGAACAGAUAAAGGAAUAAACUGAACUAAAAUUGCUAGCAUCACUAUUCUUGUUCUUUGGUGUCAUUAUUAAGUAAAGUAAGAGUUACUUGGAAAUAUGCAUUGCUGUACCAAGACAGUUGGUCUGAUAACCUGGAGCUACUGACUAAUAGGUAGAUAGAAACAGUGAACAAAGGGAUGAUUCACAUCCCAUGUGGCAUGAAACAUGUUGGCAUAAGAUUUCAUGCCAUUCAGGCAUGUAAUUUUAAUUUUAUAAAUUAUUUCUGGGAUUUUUCAUGUAAUAUUUUGAAACCUUGGUUGACUGCCAGUAACUAAAAUGGGAGAAAGUACAAUUACAAAUAAGGGAGAACUGUACUUAUUCUUGCAGAUACUGUUUUGUUGAAAUUCAUUUUGGGGUUUGAUAAAUCUUAAUUCAAGGAUCUUCAUUAUUUGGGGGUGACAUCUCUUCAACAGAUUCUCUUAUAGGGAAUUUAAAUAUUAGAAUAUGGAAAUGUCUGAAUGAAAUCAGUGAAUUGUAUUAAUAUCAAUAUCCUGGUUGUAGGAACUAGGAGUAUGUAUUCACAAGGUCCUAGGUUCAAUCCCCAACAACUCCCCCCCCAAAAUAAAUUCUAGUUGUGGUAUUUAUUAUACUAUUUUUUUUUGCAAGGUGUUACUAUUGGAGGAAACUAGACACAGUAUAUAAGGAGUCUCUGUAGUGUUUCUCAUAACGUGAUGAAUCAAAAUUUUCUUAAAGGAAAAAAAAUGAGAAAAGACUUUCAUUUUUCCUCCCCCUUGAAACAACUGUAAAAAAAACAGGUGAAAUAAUUGAAAUGAUUCUUUUCAAGGCGUUGGACAUUAUGUAGUGAAAGAAUAUUGACCUUGAAAAUUUGAAAAUAGAGUUCUUUUAUUGCCUUAUGUAUGCCCUUGAGAGAAUUUUUUUGUUGUGGCACAGGGAAAGGAAACAGCAGUAACAUGGAAGACUCUACUAAACCUCCAGAAAGACUAAUGAAACAAAAAAACUGAAAAAGUUCCAAAAUUUGGUGUUUUUUUCUUUGUUUGUUCUUUUGUUUUUAAUGUGGUAUGGGGGAUUGAACCCAAGGGCAUUUAAGUAUAUGGCACUUAACACCAGCUGGAGCACAUGAAACCCUGAAGAUCUUCCCUGCUAAUUCAAGCAGUUAAUAUGGCCCAAUAUAAUUUUUUUUUUAAAGAGAGAGAGGGAGGGGGGAGAGAGAGAGAGAGAAUUUUAAUAUUUAUUUUUAGUUUUUCGGCAGACACAACAUCUUUGUUUGUAUGUGGUUCUGAGGAUCGAACCCGGGUCGCACGCAUGCCAGGCGAGCGCGCUACCACUUGAGCCACAUCCCCAGCCCGGCCCAAUAUAAAUUUAAAAAAGGGCCUUGAUGGAUUGAAAAUUGGUAUAUAAGACCCACUUAGAGAAGGGAUUGUUAUCUUCUUGGCUUGCCCAUCUAAUAAUCCAAUUUUACUUUCAUUUUAAACUUGGAAAAAGUAAAUAAUGCCUCACAGUUGAUUGCUGCCCCUUAAUGCUAUAGUUCUAUUUGUCAAGGCCUCCAUACCCAAUAUUAUUGAAAUUAUUGAGUCUUUCUACUAUAUAACUCAUAGGCACUCUGCAUAGGUUUGGCUAACAUAGUUUGAACAGUCCCUAUUACAGGAGUCUCUCAGCUGUAGUUUGCUUUCAUUUUCAGGAAAUAUAACACUUUCCUAGCCACCUAUAAGGUCCCUAUUCCUCAAUAGCCCUGCCAUCACAUACAUCUUUAUAAGCAAGAUCUUAAAAAUAUCCAGCUUUUUCCAAAAACACAGGUAAGACAUAUCAUUGAUAUUAUCUGCCUCUGAAGAGAUUGAUGUGUAACUUUUUGUGUGUGUGGUGCUGGGGCUUGAACCCAGGCUCUUGUGUGUGCUGGGAAAGAGGCCUGAUGAGCUACAUCUCUAACCCCCAAGAGAUUGACUUGUCAAACUCAUUCAAGACAUAUAAAUACUUAAAAAGGAUUUCACAAAAAGAGCAUGGGUUGUUGCCUUAAACAUAGUAUAAGGCCCUGCCAUCUUGGUUAAAUUCUUGAAAAAUUAUUUUGUUAGCUGAGGCCAGCUCUACCCUGACUGUCUAGAAACAGGUAUUAACUCCUCUGCAGGUCUCAUAUAGUACUAUAAUGACUUGUUUAUAAACAAAUUCACAUUCAGUUAAACUGCACACUUUAGUGAUCAGGUAAACAUUAGGGAGUGAAUUGUAAUAAAUUUAUUUUUGCAGUACUGGGGAUUUCUUUUCCUUUAAUUUUUAUUGUUGGUUGUUCAAAACAUUACAUAGUUCUUGACAUGUCAUAUUUCACACUUUGAUUCAAGUGGGUUAUGAACUCCCAUUUUUACCCCGUAUACAGAUUGUAGCAUCACAUCGGUUACACAUCCACUGUUUUACAUGUUGCUAUACUAGUGUCUGUUGUAUUCUGCUGCCUUUCCUAUCCUCUACUAUCCCCCCUCCCCUCCCCUCCCCUCCCCUCCCAUCUUCUCUCUCUACCCCAUCUACUAAAAAUUUGUAACUGAACAUCUUUUUUUUUUUUUUUUGGUGGUACUGGGUAUUGAACGCAGGGCCUUGUGCAUGUGAGGCAAGCACUCUACCAACUGAGCUAUAUCCCCAGCCCUUUGAGCUAUAUCCCCAGCCCAGUACUGGGGAUUGAACCCAGAAUUUCAUAUGUGAUAGGCAAGCACUGUGCUACAUCUACAUCUUCAGAUCUUUGUUUCCCCCAUUUUAUUUUGAGAUAGGGUUUUACUCAGUUGCCUGCACUGGCCUCUAACUUAGACUCCUCCUGCCUCAGCCUCCCAAGUAAACGUUAUUAUAGUUGUGUGUAACCACAGCAUGCCUGACUAUUUUUGAUGCUUGAUUGCUGAUAUCCUUGAAACUUCACCACUUAUUUUUCCUUCUGUCCCUCAUCUGAUGAAAUCGAUAAGAAAGCCCAGGGGCUUUUUUUUUUUUUUUUAAAUUUCUUCCUUUAGAACUCACAGGAUAUUCAAACUACACAUGCCUCUUGAAGCUCAUAUGUAAGAACUCUCAGUUAAGCCCCAUCUUCCAGCCACAAUAAAAAUUGAGAAGGUCUCCUGUUUUUGCUCUGUCAAGAUGGUUUUGGAUCUGUAUGGAGCCACAGUUUCAUAUCCUGUCAGUACAAAGGUGGUGUGGUGUCAUCUGUGUCAAUACCUAAACUGAAUUUUGGUUGGGAGGUCCAUCUAUCCUCUUUAGGGUGACCACAAUAGAGAAAGGAUUUUUCUUUUCAAUAAAUACUAAGAAAGAUAAACCCCAAACAAAACUCUUCUUGUUUUUUAAAAACUAUCAUAUAUUUAUUAUAUAGAACAUAAUAAACUUCAUUUUUAAAUUUUUAUUUUUUAAAAUUGACAAAACCCAUAUAUCUUUAUGGUAUAACAUUAUAUUUUUGAAAUAUGUAUAAAUGAUGGAAUGGUUAAACUAAACUAAUUAACAUGCAUAUUACCUCACAUACUUGUUUAUUUGUGAUGAGAACACUUAACGCCUACUCUUUCAGCAAUUUCCAAGAGUGUAAUAUUGUUAUUAACAGUAGAGAACAGAAUAUACUAGAAACAUUAAUAAAGAACAAGCUGAAAAAAUUAUUUUCUUUUAUAAUAUUUUAUUCUAUACUGUGGGAAGCCAUUCCCGCACGUGAUUGGGCACCUCCCUGAUUGGGUGUCAGGCGUUCUGGUUAAACUGUGUCGGAACUAAUCCCCACCCUUUCCAGGGUCCGUGUGGAGGUGUGAAUGACCAUUGACCCUGAGACCAAUCACUGACCCUGACCUUGGAAUGCUGUCCCCCUCGACCUUCAUUGGAUGGAAUUUUCCCCUGAAUUUCUUGUUCCCCAAUAAAAGGCCACUCUCUGGCAUGCCUUGUCUCUCUCUCUCUCUCCUGCUAGUCCUGAGUAAGCCUCACUGCCCCACCGGGUGGCUCGAGGCAGGAGCCAGAGGGAGGGCUGUCUCAGACCUGGUCAAAGAAAAAGGUAAAUUGAGUUUGUGUGUUUAUUUUGAUCUCACUAGUUAACUUCUAUGCUUCAAAUCUCUUGUAUGAAGCUAGCGUGCUGGUCGCGCGGUUGACUAUACUUUUCUUUUUUUUGGUACUGGGGAUUGACCCCCAAGAGCACUUAACCACUCACUGAACCACCUCCCUUUUUUUGUGUGUAUGUGUGUGUUAAGAUAUACAUAACAGGGCUGGGGAUGUGGCUCAAGCGGUAGCGUGCUUGCCUGGCAUGCGUGCGGCCCGGGUUCGAUCCUCAGCACCACAUACAAACAAAAGAUGUUGUAUCCGCCGAAAAACUAAAAUAAAUUAAUUAAAAAAAAAGAUAUACAUAACAUAAAUUUACCAUCUUAACCAUUUUCUAAAAACUGGACUUCAUUUUAAGAGUUAUUUUAGGUUCACAGCAAAAUUGAGUGGAACCUGGUGUGUGGUAUGGUGGUGCAUAUGUGUAAUCCCAGCGACUUGGGAGGCUGAGGAAGGAGAAUUGCAAAUUUGAGACCAGCCUCAGCAAUUUAUUUUUUUAUUUUUUAUUUUUAUUUUUUUUAGAAUUUUUAAAUAUUUAUUUUUUAGUUUUCGGCGGACACAACAUCUUUGUUUGUAUGUGGUGCUGAGGAUCGAACCCGGGCCGCACGCAUGCCAGGCCAGCGCGCUACCACUUGAGCCACAUCCCCAGCCCCCAGCCUCAGCAAUUUAGUUGAGACCCUGUCCCUGGGUUCUAUCCCAGUACCUCUCCCCACAAAAAAAUUUAGGUGGAAGGUAUAGAAUAGCCUUGUUCAUAUCAGUACCAUUCCCACCAGUGGGUAAAUCUGAUAAAUCUACUUUGACAUACCAUUAUCACCUAAAGUCCCUAGUUUACAUUAUGAUUCGUGAUUCUCUCUUGGUGUUGUACAUUUUAUGGGUUUGGACAAAUUUUAUAAUGACAUAUAUCCAACACUGUAGUAUUAUAUAGAGUUGUGUCACUACUAUCAAAAUGCUGUUUGUUCCACCUGUUCGUUCCUCUUUCCCCAGCUUGUGGGGAAAAUGCAUUUACUGUAUUCAUAGUUUUUUUUUUUUUUUCAGAAUGGCAUAUACGGAAUGCAACUUUCUUCAAUUGACUUCUUUAACUUAGUAAUAUGCACUUAAGAUUCCUCCAUGUCUUUUCUUGGUUUGAUAGUUCAUUUCUUUUUAGUGCUGGAUAAUAUUCCAUUGUCUGUAUAACGAUGAGGGUCUCCUUCCUUCUUCCGUGUAAUUCCCCUUCUCCCUCCCUUUCCCUCCCACCUCUCUUCCCUAUUUAGUGAUAAUCUUUUUCUCAUACUCUUCCUCCCUAUCCCAUUUUGAGUCACCCCCCUUAUAUCAGAGAAGACAUUCGGCCUUUGUUUUUUAGGGAUUAGCAAACUUCACUUAGCAUAAUCUUCUCUAAUGCCAUCCAUUUCCCUGAAAAUGCCAUGAUCUUGUUAUUUUUUAGUGCUGAGUAAUAUUCCAUUGUGUAUAAAUGCCACAUUUUUUUUUUUAUCCAUUCAUCCAUUGAAGGUCAUCUAGGUUGGUUCCACAGUCUAGCUAUUGUAAAUUGUGCUGCUUUGAACAUUGAUGUGGCUGUGUCCCUGUAGUAUGCUCUUUUUAGGUCUUUUGAGUAUAGUCCAAGAAGGGGAAUAGUUGGGUCAAAUGGUGGUUCCAUUCCCAGCUUUCCAAGGAAUCUCCAUAUUGCUUUCCAAAUUGGCUGCACCAAUUUGCAGUCCUACCAGCAAUGUAUGAGUGUACCUUUUCCCCAAAAUCCUUUCCAACACUUAUUAUUGCUUGUAUUCCUGAGGAUAACUGCCAUUCUGACUGGAGUGAGAUGAAAUAUUAGAGUAGUUUUGGUUUGCAUUUCUCUAAUUACUAAAGAUGAACACUUUUUCAUAUAUUUGUUGAUUGCUUAUAUAUCUUCUGAGAAGUGUCUGUUCAGUUUAGCCCAUUUAUUGAUUGGGUUGUUUGUUUUUUUGGUAUUAAGUUUUUUGAGUUCUUUAUAUAUCCUAGAGAUUAGCAUUCUAUCUGAUGUGUAUGUGGUAAAAAUUUGCUCCCAUACUGUAGGCUCUCUCUUUACCUCAGUGAUUGUUUCUUUUGCUGAGAAGAAGCUUUUUAGUUUGAGCCCAUCCCAUUUAUUGAUUCUUGGUUUUAAUUAUUUUGCUAUAGGAAUCUUAUUAAGGAAGUUGGGGCCUAAUCUGAUAUGAUGAUUUGGGCCUACUCUUUCUUCUAUGAGGUGCAGGGUCUCUGGUCUAAUUCCUAGGUCCUUGAUCCACUUUGAGUUGAGUUUUGUGCAUGGGGAGAGAAAAUGGUUUAAUUUCAUUUUGCUACAUAUGGAUUUCCAGUUUUCCCCAGAAGCAUUUGUUGAAGAGGCUAUUCCUUCUCCAAUGUAUGUUUUUGGCACCUGUGUCUAGUAUGAGAUAACUGUAUUUAUGUGGGUUGGUCUCCGUGUCUUCUGUUCUGUACCGUUGGUCUAUAUAUCUAUUUCUUGCCAAUACCAUGCUGUUUUUGUUACUGUUUCUCUGUAGUAUAGUUUAGGGUCUGGUAUUGUGAUGCCUGCUGCUUCACUUUUUUUGCCAAAGAUUACUUUGGGUAUUCAGGGUCUCUUUCCAAAUGAAUUUCAUGAUUGCUUUUUCUAGUUCUAUGAAGAAUGUCAUUUGGAUUUUAAUAGGAAUUGCAUUAAAUCUGUGUAACAGUUUUGGUAGUAUGGCCAUUUUGACUAUUAAUUCUGCCUACCCAAGAAUAUGGGAGAUCUUUCCAUCCUCUAAGGUCUUCUUCAAUUUCCUUCUUUGGUGUUCUGUAGUUUUCAUUGUAGAGGUCUUUUACCUCUUCUGUUAGAUUGAUUCCCAAGCAUUUUAUAUUUUUUGAGGCUAUUUUGAAUGGGGUAGUUUUCCUAAUUUCUCUUGCAGUGGAUUCAUCACUUGUGUAUAGAAAUGCAUUUGAUUUAUGGGUAUUGAUUUUAUAUCCUGCUACUUUGUUGAAUUCAUUUAUUAAUUCUAGAAGUUUUCUGGUGGAGUUUUUUGAAUCUUCUAAAUAUAGAAUCAUGUCGGCAUAUAGAGUUUGAGUUCUUCUUUUCCUAUGCAUAUCCCUUUAAUUUCUUUUGUCUGAUUCCUCUGUAGUAUUUUAAUUUUUUCUAAAGUAUUUUUUUUUAGUUAUAGAUGGACCUUUAUUUUAUGUAUUUAUAUGCAGUGCUGAGGAUUGAACCCAGGGCCUCACACAUGCUAGGCAAGCACUCCACCACUGAACCACAACCCCAGCCCCUUAAUUUUUUCUUGAUAGCCACAUGUGAUAAACUGAGUAAAAGAAAUUGCUGUAAAUAUGUCUUCAAUAACAUGGUGUAAGAUGUCGGGGAAGGGAGAUAUUCUGUAGCCUGUGCCUCUGGAAUGUGUACUUCAUUUGUGAAUUUCAAUUUUUCUCUCUCCCUCUUAAUUGGAUCAGGAUUAUCUGAGUGGGUUGGAGUUGGAAUUUUCCUUUGCACAGGUUAGUUAAGCUCUGAUGAAAUGACCUGGGAUGUGCCUAGUGGCACAUAUCUGUAAUUCCAGUGGCUGGGGAGGCUGAGGCUGGAGGACCACAAGUUCAAAGCCAGCAUCAGCAAUUUAGCAAGGCCCUAAGCAACUCAGUGAGAGACACUGUCUCUAAAUAAAAUACAAAAAGGGGUGAGGGGGUGCGGCUCAGUGGUUAAACACCUUGAUGCCAAAAUAAACAAACAAAAAAAAAAACCUCCCAGACUAACAACCAGUGUGUUAAGCUCUGGUUAAACAUUUCUCCUGAGGGCAGACCUUUUUAAGAAUGGAAUAAUGGUGUCUUUCAAAACUUGCCUUUGCUGUAUGUUCAGUGGGAGGACUUAGAGCUUUAGGAGGUAAAACUCAUAAAAGUGUGGAUCCCUUAUACUGGGUUUCCCUGAAGUAUUUAACUCUCAGAGUUGUCCACUCUGAGCUUACAGCAAUUCAUCAUUUACAGUUCAGGUUUUCCUACCACAUGAGUUUCUGCUCUAGUUGUGAUUCUUUGUAUUCACCUGUUGGGCUCUUCAAUUUUGGAGGCAACAGUUUGCCCUGUGAUCUCACUUCUCUUUUUUUUGGUGGUACUGGGGAUUAAACCUAGGGGCCCUUUACCACUGAACUACAUCCCCAACCCCUUCUAAAAAAAAAUUUUUUUUUUUGAUACAGGGUCUCACUAAGUUGCCCAGAGUGGCCUUGAACUUGUGAUCUACCUGCCUAAGCCUCCCAAGUGGCUGGGAUUAUUACAGGCAUGUGCUGCCACAACCACAAUUUAUGGAUGGAUCUAAGAAGAAUUGCUGAUUUUUCAGUUUGUUUGGUUUUUUACUUUUUGUUAGGAUGGGGUACCAGCUUAAAGCUUCCUAUAUGCUGGACUGGAAAUUGGAAGUUUAGACUAUUAAAUAUAUUCAUAUUGUUGUGCACCAUUACCACCGUGCAUCUUUAGAACUCUUCAUUUUGCAAAACUAAAGUUUUAUCCUCAUUAAACAGUAACUUAUUUCCCUCUCCAACUACCCCUGACAACCACCAUUCUGCUUUCCAUUUCCAUGAAUUUGAAAUACUCUAGGUAUUUUCUAUAAGCGGAAUCAAACAGUAUUUGUUUUAUUUUGUUUUUUGUGACUUCCUUAUUUCAUUUAGCAUGAGGCCCUUUAGGCCUGUGUUUUAUUAUGUUUUGAAAAAGCUUGAGGGAGACUAGUAUUGUUUUUUUAAAAUGUUUGGUAGAAUUCACCAAUGAAGCCAUGAGGUCCUAGGCUUUUCUUUCUUGGAAGAUAUUUGAUUACUGAUUCAGUCACCUUGAUAGUUAUAAGUCCUCUCAAAUUUUCUAUUUUUUCAAGAUUCUGCCUUGGUAAGUUUUGUGUGUUGGGGAAUUUGUUCAUCUAGCUUAUUCAAUUUGGCACAUAAUGUUCAUAGUUAUAACCUUUCAUAUUUUUGUAGAAUUGAUAGUAAUGCCUUCCCCCUUUGAUUUCUGAUUAAGUAAUUUGAAUGAUCUCUCUUCUUAUCUUAAUCUGGUUAAGGGUUUGUCAGUUUUGUUGACCUUUGACGAAAUCAGCUUUUAUCAUUGAUUUUUUUCUCUAGUUUUUGGUUUUUUAAAUUUCAGUUAUUCUUGAUCUAAUUUUAUUUCUUUCCUUCUGCUAGCUUUGGUUUAGUUCUUAUUUUUCCAGCAUCUUAUACUGUAAAGUUAGGUUGUUGAUUUUAGAUUUUUCUUCUUUUUCAACAUAAAUGUUGAUGUGUAUAACUUUCCUUUUUUACAGUGCUUUAAAUGUGUUACAUAGUAUAAAUAUGUUGUAUUUAAAUUUUUGUUCAUUUCUAAGUAUUAUCUAAUUUCCAUCGUGAUUUCUUCUUUGCUAUGUUGAUUGUUUGAAUAUUUUGACUAUUUGCAUAAAUUUGUAAUUUUUCCAGUUUUCCUUUUGUUUUUGAUUACUAACUUCAUUUUAUUGUGAUUACAGAAGAUGCUUUGAUAUUUUAAAAAAGGAAUUUUGAUUCUUAUCUUAGGUUGUAUUCAAAUAAGACUAUAGGCCUACCUGAAAAAAUUUUCUAAACUGUGAAACUUCUAAAAAAUAGUGAAAUUUUUUUGUGACUUCAGGUUAGUAAGCAAAUAUUUCUUAUGACACCAAAAGUAUGAAUUAUAAAAGAAAAAUGGGGUAAAUCUGGGUAAAGGUAAAUUGGGACUUCUUCAAAAUUAAAACUUCACUCAUAGAGAAUGAACAGAAGAUACAGACUGGGAGAAACUUUUACAAGGCAUAUAUCAUAUAGAGGACGUGUACUUUUAUAGGACACUCAGCCAGGGCAGGUGGAGCAUACCUGUAAUCCCUGAUUUGAGAGACUAAAGCAGGAAAAUCACAAGUUCAAGGCUUUCUAAGUUCAGAAACUUAGCAAAACCCUAACCAUCUUAGUGAGAUCCUGUUUCAAAAUAAAAGGACCAAAAGGGUUAGGGGUGUGGCUUAGUUGUUAAGUGCCUCUGUGUUCAAUCUCCAGCAUAAAUAAAUAAAUGAAUGAAUAAAUAACUCAAAACUCAAUAGUAACAGUCUGAUUAAAAAAUGGGCAAAUGUUUGCAUAGAUAACUUCACCAAAGUUGAUAGUGGCAGAUAAGCACACGAAAAGAUGCUCAACAUCUUAAUCAUUAGGGGACUGCAAAUACCAUGAAGAGAUCUCACUACCCAUUUAUUAGAAUGGCUAAAAUUGAAAAGACCAAACAAUUGAAAAGACUUAAGUAUUGUUAAGGAUAUGUAGGAGUUGGAACACUCAAACACUACUGAUGAGAAUACAGAAUGGUACAACUACUUUUAAAAAAAAGUUUGGCAGUUUCUUAAAAUAUUAAACACCAACUUACCAUAUGAUUUAGCCAUUCUACUUUUAGCUAAUUUAUCAAAAACCAAAAACCUAAAACAAACAAACAAACAAAAACACUAGAACAACAACACUUGUGUCUGCACAUAGACUUGUAUAUAGAUUUGUAUGUUAAUGUUCAGAGAAGCUUUAUUUGUAGUUGCCCUAAAGUGGAAACAGUCUAAAUGUACAUGAAUAAAUGGACCAUAGCCUUAUGAUGGAGUUCUUUUCAGCAAUUAAAAAAAAAAACUUGUUACUUGCAACAACAUGGACAAAUCUCAAAAUAACUAUGCUGAAUGAAAGAAGCUAAACAACAACAACAACAACAAAAAGAUUAGGAACUUGUUUUCAUUUAGAUAAAACUGGAACAUUUAAACUAAUCUAUACUGACAGCUGGUUAAUUCUUGUCUGAGGAUGGUAGAAAGGGAGUUAAAGAAAGGUAGGAGGGAAUGAUUUCAGUAUGAUGAUGGCUACAUUCCCGGUCUUGCUUGUGGUCAUGGUUUCACAGGUAUAGACAUAUGCCUAAAUUUACCAAAUUGUAUAUUUUAAAUAUGUGUAGUUUAUUGUAUGUUCAGUAUACCUUAAUAAGGCUUUAAAUAAUAGAAUAAAAAUUCUAUUUCUAAAAAUAUGUAUAAAUUAUAAACUGCUUCAGGUAGAAUAGAUUUUUAUGAUAUUUGUUCUAGAUCUUUCCUAGAGCAGAGAAUUGGAGAACCUUUUUUUUUUGUUCUCCAAGUUUUGAACGUUUUUUACCUUGUUCCUUUCCUCCAGAUAAUAAUAAAUAAUACUUUGCCUCUUCUGUUAUGCUUGAACUCAGGCUCAUUUUAGUUGUUAUGCUUUAUCAUCAGUAAUUAAUCUGUGUUUUAAGUCUUUUCCCUUUCCCCAAUUUGAAAGGUCCAUCAAAUUUUAUCUCUUUUUUUUUAAAUCCUUUUUAAAUACCUAUCAUCAUUACAGAACAGGUCAACAACCUUUCAUUCAUGGAUUAAUGUAAUAAUUUCCUAACCAGUCCUUUUCUCGUCUAAUCCAUUUUCUGACUGUUAUCAGACUAACAGUUGGGAAAAUAAUGUUGUGCUUCACAUUUUUCAGCAGGCCACUCAUGUUAGCAUUACUAAGCAUCCACUGUGUGAAUGGAACUGUAAAGGAUUAGGAAUAGGAAAAUGGGAAGCUUAAAAGGAUAGGAUACUUCUCAAUUAUUUAUUUAUUUAUUUAUUUUGCUGUGGGUUGAACUCCAGGGUCUCUAGAAUGCUAAUAAGCAUGUGCUCUACCACUGAGCUAUAUCCCCAGCCCCAUUUCAAAUAAUAUUUAUGAAGAAGUGGAGUUUAAAUAUAAAUGUGAUUUUUACCUGUAACAUUGUUUUGUCAAAGAGAACACACUUGAGGCAUUUAAUGAAUAGCAAAAUAGUAAAAUAUUUUUCCUUCCCCCCCCCUUUCUAGGUUCCUGUUGCAUGUAAAUCUUGUCCCUGUGGUUACAUAUUUAUUAAUCGGAAGCUUCUAAAAAUAAAACACUCAGAGAAAUCAUCACCUUUUACAGGUAAUUUUGAGAGUUUACCACCUUUCCACUUUUUUUCAUUUCAGUUAUAUAAAUUUAAGAUUAAUUUUUGUGAGUUAAAGUUUAGUUUUGCUACUGAGGUUAAAAUGUUAGUUUAUGGACAUAUUAUUGUUUUUUGUUAGAUAUAAUAAGUCAGUUUAUGACACUGGUUUGUUUUUUAUCCACUGUAAGUGUUAACUCCGUCACAAUGCUGAUAAAGCUUGUAAGGAAUUUUAUUUUUAUUUUUUAAGCUUGUAAAGAAUUUUAAUGAGAAAUUUCAAUUUGCCAAGGAAGUUAAAUGGGAAAGAAUAGUAUUUUCAACAGAUGGUGUUGAGAUACCAUGAUAUAUAUCUACAUGUGAAAAAUGAUAUUGGGCCCUUAUCUUUGAAGAUACUAAAAAAUUAACUUUAAAUAGAUCAUAAAAAG
This 24676-nucleotide long non-coding RNA is filed under the name Marmota monax (woodchuck). The stretch from base 6110 to 6181 matches the Rfam family "tRNA". Lineage: Eukaryota; Metazoa; Chordata; Mammalia; Rodentia; Sciuridae. The record is from RNAcentral.